This 170-nucleotide ribosomal RNA is filed under the name uncultured bacterium. RNAcentral's name for it is "partial 16S ribosomal RNA". It matches the Rfam family "Bacterial small subunit ribosomal RNA", at positions 336 to 523 of the family's 1533-position model. The record is from RNAcentral.
CUCCUACGGGAGGCAGCAGUGGGGAAUAUUGGACAAUGGGCGCAAGCCUGAUCCAGCCAUGCCGCGUGAGUGAUGAAGGCCUUAGGGUUGUAAAGCUCUUUUAGCAGGGAAGAUAAUGACGGUACCUGCAGAAAAAGCCCCGGCUAACUUCGUGCCAGCAGCCGCGGUAA